RNAcentral lists this long non-coding RNA (65 nucleotides) under Chinchilla lanigera (long-tailed chinchilla). RNAcentral describes it as "lncRNA (ENSCLAG00000023140.1)". Lineage: Eukaryota; Metazoa; Chordata; Mammalia; Rodentia; Chinchillidae. The record is from RNAcentral.
GAAAAGUCCACAGUACAAUCCACUGGGUCCCUUGAGGAGGAGAGGACAGAAAAGUCAGUCAUUAG